Molecule: ribosomal RNA, 474 nt
Filed under: uncultured bacterium
Lineage: Bacteria
Description: bacterial SSU rRNA
Rfam family: Bacterial small subunit ribosomal RNA
Source: RNAcentral
GGGGGCCCGCAAGCGGUGGAGCAUGUGGUUUAAUUCGAUGCAACGCGAAGAACCUUACCUACUCUUGACAUCCAGCGAACUUAGCAGAGAUGCUUUGGUGCCUUCGGGAACGCUGAGACAGGUGCUGCAUGGCUGUCGUCAGCUCGUGUUGUGAAAUGUUGGGUUAAGUCCCGCAACGAGCGCAACCCUUAUCCUUUGUUGCCAGCGAUUCGGUCGGGAACUCAAAGGAGACUGCCGGUGAUAAACCGGAGGAAGGUGGGGAUGACGUCAAGUCAUCAUGGCCCUUACGAGUAGGGCUACACACGUGCUACAAUGGCGCAUACAAAGAGAAGCGACCUCGCGAGAGCAAGCGGACCUCACAAAGUGCGUCGUAGUCCGGAUCGGAGUCUGCAACUCGACUCCGUGAAGUCGGAAUCGCUAGUAAUCGUGGAUCAGAAUGCCACGGUGAAUACGUUCCCGGGCCUUGUACACACC